This 253-nucleotide ribosomal RNA is filed under the name uncultured bacterium. RNAcentral describes it as "partial 16S ribosomal RNA". It matches the Rfam family "Bacterial small subunit ribosomal RNA", at positions 524 to 776 of the family's 1533-position model. The record is from RNAcentral.
UACGUAGGUGGCAAGCGUUGUCCGGAUUUACUGGGCGUAAAGAGCGCGCAGGCGGUUGUGCAAGUCGCGUGUGAAAGCCCCCGGCUCAACUGGGGAGGGUCACGCGAUACUGUUCGACUUGAAGGCAGGAGAGGGAAGUGGAAUUCCCGGUGUAGUGGUGAAAUGCGUAGAUGUCGGGAGGAACACCAGCGGCGAAGGCGACUUCCUGGCCUGUUCUUGACGCUGAGGCGCGAAAGCUAGGGUAGCAAACGGG